GGAGAUUUAAAUAUUUUCAAUAGAUUUCCAGGAAUUUUUUUUGUAUACUCUGCAAUUUCAGGAUAUUCAGUUAUAAUGGCUUAAUACUUAACAGCAACUGGACAGAUCCUCAUGGAGAGAGAGCAUAAAGGAAGGGUCAAAGAUUGCAGAUGUCAUACACAACAGAAGCAGAAAGAAGGGUGAAAAUGCAACGGCGCCUGGUGAUUAUAUAUGCCCAACCUGCGA
Non-coding RNA from Biomphalaria pfeifferi, 225 nucleotides. NCBI's taxonomy places the organism in Eukaryota, Metazoa, Mollusca, Gastropoda, Planorbidae. The record is from the annotation of a GenBank genome assembly.